This 329-nucleotide ribosomal RNA is filed under the name uncultured eukaryote. Its description in RNAcentral is "partial 18S ribosomal RNA". It matches the Rfam family "Eukaryotic small subunit ribosomal RNA", at positions 1470 to 1796 of the family's 1831-position model. The record is from RNAcentral.
CCCUUAGAUGUUCUGGGCCGCACGCGCGCUACACUGAUGCAUUCAACGAGUCUAAAACCUGGUCUGAUAGGGCUGGGUAAUCUUUUGAAAGUGCAUCGUGAUUGGGAUAGAUGAUUGCAAUUCUUCAUCUUCAACGAGGAAUGCCUAGUAAGCGUGAUUCAUCAAAUCGCGUUGAUUACGUCCCUGCCCUUUGUACACACCGCCCGUCGCUCCUACCGAUUGAGUGUGUUGGUGAGGAGUUCGGAUUGGCUCUUAGUGGUGGUUCGCCACCACCUAGAGCUGAGAAGUUCUCCAAACCGCCCCACUUAGAGGAAGGAGAAGUCGUAACA